CUAUUCUGAUAGUAUGCUUUGAAAAAAAUCGAAGAAAAUGCUAAUUUUAUAAAUUCAGCAGACGACAGUUUAGCAGACGACAAAUUUCCCAGCAUGCAAAGGAUUAAUAUACAUGAGAUUCCAGGCGGAAUUUAAAAUCUGUACCACUCUGAUCUCCAGUAGCAGCCCCAGCUGUGGGAGGCAGAUUCAUGAUGCACCUAUGGCCUUAAUUAUCUCAAAACAUCCCAACCUCACAUGACCUGUAGGGCGGGGAUGUAUAUAAAUGAUCAUUAAAUCCCACAAACCAAGGAGAGGUUAUAUUGGAGUCAAUUUUAUUGGUUUGUGUUCAGUGUCAAGCAGUAUCCUAGCAAUCAAGUCAAGUCAGCGCAGCAGCAACAACAGAUGAAGCAGCAGUCGUACGCAAUACAUCAACAACACUGGUGCAUAUGCAUUAAACUAUAAAGAAGAAAACCGGAUAACAAAGCGUUGAUUUUGUUCUGGAUGCAUUAGCAGUCACAGUACAUGAACCGACAGUAGUCAUCUUCUCGAGAUUCUGGCCUCUGAACCAUCAGUCUAUGAACAUAAUGCAGAGCAAUCUAGGGACGCCAAUUGACGAAAUCAAACUGACCAAUCAGCAACAAAGCCUGUUGCAGCAGUUGUUACCAUAUUGACCCCAGUCAAAUCAUGGAAGCUUAGACAUAAAUACUGUUUAAGAUGUGCCAGUCUCUACAGACCUCGUGGUCUGUUAAGCACUUACUCUGACAGGUGUCAUCUUUGGAUUUUGUGACAGGUGGAAAAUGAAUAACCUUGUUCAGAUUGAAAUGGCAGAAUGAAAAAGCACAAUUCACGCGAAAAGCCAUAUAUUAAUU
This is a long non-coding RNA of Dreissena polymorpha, 848 nucleotides long. RefSeq lists it as uncharacterized. NCBI's taxonomy places the organism in Eukaryota, Metazoa, Mollusca, Bivalvia, Myida, Dreissenidae. The record is from RefSeq and is a predicted model, not a curated record. The transcript has 4 exons.